This 301-nucleotide ribosomal RNA is filed under the name uncultured bacterium. RNAcentral's name for it is "partial 16S ribosomal RNA". It matches the Rfam family "Bacterial small subunit ribosomal RNA", at positions 509 to 809 of the family's 1533-position model. The record is from RNAcentral.
CAGUAGCCGCGGGAAUACGGAGGGUGCAAGCGUUAUCCGGAUUUAUUGGGUUUAAAGGGUCCGUAGGCGGAUCUGUAAGUCAGUGGUGAAAUCUCACAGCUUAACUGUGAAACUGCCAUUGAUACUGCAGGUCUUGAGUAAAUUUGAAGUGGCUGGAAUAAGUAGUGUAGCGGUGAAAUGCAUAGAUAUUACUUAGAACACCAAUUGCGAAGGCAGGUCACUAAGAUUUAACUGACGCUGAUGGACGAAAGCGUGGGGAGCGAACAGGAUUAGAUACCCCUGUAGUCCCUGUCUCUUAUAA